ACGGGUGAGUAAUGCUUAGGAAUCUGCCUAUUAGUGGGGGACAACGUUUCGAAAGGAAUGCUAAUACCGCAUACGUCCUACGGGAGAAAGCAGGGGAUCUUCGGACCUUGCGCUAAUAGAUGAGCCUAAGUCGGAUUAGCUAGUUGGUGGGGUAAUGGCCUACCAAGGCGACGAUCUGUAGCGGGUCUGAGAGGAUGAUCCGCCACACUGGGACUGAGACACGGCCCAGACUCCUACGGGAGGCAGCAGUGGGGAAUAUUGGACAAUGGGCGGAAGCCUGAUCCAGCCAUGCCGCGUGUGUGAAGAAGGCCUUAUGGUUGUAAAGCACUUUAAGCGAGGAGGAGGCUACUUUAGUUAAUACCUAGAGAUAGUGGACGUUACUCGCAGAAUAAGCACCGGCUAACUCUGUGCCAGCAGCCGCGGUAAUACAGAGGGUGCAAGCGUUAAUCGGAUUUACUGGGCGUAAAGCGCGCGUAGGCGGCUAAUUAAGUCAAAUGUGAAAUCCCCGAGCUUAACUUGGGAAUUGCAUUCGAUACUGGUUAGCUAGAGUGUGGGAGAGGAUGGUAGAAUUCCAGGUGUAGCGGUGA
Molecule: ribosomal RNA, 587 nt
Filed under: uncultured bacterium
Lineage: Bacteria
Description: bacterial SSU rRNA
Rfam family: Bacterial small subunit ribosomal RNA
Source: RNAcentral